Molecule: long non-coding RNA, 1501 nt
Filed under: Polistes fuscatus (common paper wasp)
Lineage: Eukaryota; Metazoa; Arthropoda; Insecta; Hymenoptera; Vespidae
Description: uncharacterized LOC122520667
Source: RNAcentral
AUUAACUUAUUAAAAAGUUUCAAAAAUAUAUAUAUAUCUCUAAAAAUGUAAUUAUGUACAUAUAAAAAUGCCAAAUUAUUCUACUUUACACACGCAUCGUAUUAAUUUAAUUACGAGAUUAUAGCAAAAGAAGAAAGUAGAUUGGGAUAUAUAUGAAAAUUAAGUUAAUGAUUGUUAUGAUCAGCAGUGUUAUACUCAAGACAUAUAGUACCAAAACUGCGUCGAGAAUGAAUCGAAGUCACGAGACAAAGUUUACAAAGAUCUAUUAUUUGAUAAAAACAUCAAGAAUAUCAACUUUUAUAACUGUGUGAUGUCAAGAAAAUUGCCAAAUGAACCAAAAAAUGACAUGACAAAAAAAGAUGGAGAUAUUUUAUGUCCUCCAAAAUUUUAAUCUGUCCAUUUGUUUUAUAUAUACACAUAUAAAUAUAUUAUAUAUAUAUAGGAGAUUCCACAUAAAUAAAUGUUGGAAUAAAGCAAUUAUGAAUUAUCAUGCACAGGUAUCGAAGUAUAGUAUAAAACUAGUCAAUUAAUUUAUUUUAUAUUUACCGAAUAUCAGCUUUAAUUUUAAAUAAUAGAAGAUCCUCUUCAACCGACAAUAUACUACAUUAUCGUAUCUGAUUUGUUUUUUUGUUUUUUUUUUCAUUUCUUUUCCUUUUUUUCUUUUUUUUUACUUCAUUAAUAUAUGCAAAAAAAAGCAUAUAAUUUCUGUCCACAAUUUAAUACAUUGAUUGCCUAUUUCUUCUUCAACUAUGAUGAUUAUCAUAAACUAGCAUUACUAAAUUUUAACACAUUUACAAAUCAGAUGAAAAAAAAUGUGUAUUUUAUUAUUUAUAAUAAAUGUACUGGUAAAUUAUUGUUUUAAAUAUUAUCAAUCAGCUCAUUAAUCUUCAUCAGUUUAAAUGUUAAUGAAAACGUAUAACAUUCGCUUGGCAAUCAAUGUGCUAACAAGUGUACAUAAAUAUUUGUUUAAUCGUUAUCAUUUCAAUAAAAUAAUCAAAGAAAUUCGUAGCAAUGAAACUUGCAAUAGUUGCCAAAUUUAAAAGUAAAAAUAAAAGUUGAUUCGUAGUUCCACAAUACAUAAAUAAUAUUAUGUAAUAUAUUGAAAUAUUUUAACUUAACUUAUCAUUCCAAUUUGAAAGAUGAUCUGCGUUAAUAUGAAAAAUUAUUAUCUUAAUACAGUUAUAACUUUCAAAUAUAACAGAAUAAAUAGUUCGCGAUUAGAAAUGACAAAUAUAUACCAAUAUUCACCUUUUUUUUCCUCAUUUAUUUAACUUCAAUAUAAUUAUCAACUGCUAAAUGUUAUUUAUGGAUUUAAGUUAUUAUUAUUGGUUAACUAAAUUUAUACAAAUUCCUUGAAUACAGUACUUUAGUGCCAUAUCUUCCUAAUAUCUGAUCUCAAAUCUGUGAUUUUUAAUUAUACGAACAACAUGCUAGAACAUUUCACAUAGUUUAGCAAUAACUUCUACUUAUAUUGCCAAAUAACUCACUUAUUAUACAAAAA